This 294-nucleotide long non-coding RNA is filed under the name Capsella rubella. RNAcentral's name for it is "long non-coding RNA (CRUB_LNC004501)". The record is from RNAcentral. Lineage: Eukaryota; Viridiplantae; Streptophyta; Magnoliopsida; Brassicales; Brassicaceae.
CCGAGGUUUAUAACCCUUAUGAUUUGCUAUCAUACGGAUUGAAAUCAUAUCGUCAGUUUCUUUAAAAAUGGAAGACCAAAAGCCUUUUUAUCAGAUUUUACUAUAUUAAGUUUUUUUUUUUUUCAAACACACUUAGAAGUUAAAGAAGCUAGAUGAUCUGUAUUGCACAAAGCAAUUUGGUAGUAUGUAGUUGAUUAAUCUAAUCUUGUUAAGACCAAAUUCAACAAACGAUAAGUCAAAAUUUGUUCCACAGUCACAUAACCAUGUGUCGUGGAUCUCAACCCAACAUUUGAC